Molecule: long non-coding RNA, 390 nt
Filed under: Hordeum vulgare
Lineage: Eukaryota; Viridiplantae; Streptophyta; Magnoliopsida; Poales; Poaceae
Description: long non-coding RNA (HVUL_LNC010187)
Source: RNAcentral
UGUUAUCACAUGGAAGCAACUACACCUGCAACUAGCAACGCUAACACGUGGUUAAGCAAGCGGUAACAUAGCCAAUCGGUGGUUUGCUAGGUUGUGAACAAGUUGAAGGUUUCAUGGCAAUGUUGAGAGGCUGACAUUUAACAGGUGGUAGGCAACGAGACAUAGCGAUAGAAACGAUACAACUAGCAUGGCAUUGAUAGUAAUGGUAUCUAGGGAAAGGAUCAUCUUGCCUGAGAUCCUGCUUGGAAGAAGAAUAACUCCGUGAAGCAGACGAACCGACGUAGUCGAACGGGUCCUCACAUUCCGACAUGUUUGCGGAACUCUAUCGGAACGGAGCAAACCGGAAACAAGCAUCAACACACGGUAUUCACCACGACACAUACACGACAU